GAUGAAGAACGCAGCGAAAUGCGAUAAGUAAUGUGAAUUGCAGAAUUCAGUGAAUCAUCGGAUCUUUGAACGCACAUUGCGCCCGCCAGCACUCUGGCGGGCAUGCCUGUUCGAGCGUCAUUUCAACCAUCAAGCCCCCAGGGGCUUGUGCUGGGGCCCUGCGGCUGCCCGCAGGCCCUGAAAACCAGUGGCGGGCUCGCUAGUCACACCGAGCGCAGUAGCACAUCUCGCUCAGGGCGUGCGGCGGGCUCCUGCCGUGAAACCCCCCACUGUAACCCCAAAGGUUGACCUCGGAUCAGGUAGGAAUACCCGCUGAACUUAAGCAUAUCAAUAAGCGGAGGA
Molecule: unclassified non-coding RNA, 342 nt
Filed under: soil metagenome
Description: partial contains 5.8S ribosomal RNA, internal transcribed spacer 2, and large subunit ribosomal RNA
Rfam family: 5.8S ribosomal RNA (bases 1-120)
Source: RNAcentral